CAGUGGGAAUCCUACGGGAGGCAGCAGUGGGACUCCUACGGGAGGCAGCAGUGGGACUCCUACGGGUGCCAGCAGUGGGACCCACUCCUACGGGAGGCAGCAGUGGGACCCACUCCUACGGGAGGCAGCAGUGGGGCUCCUACGGGAGGCAGCAGUGGGACUCCUACGGGAGGCAGCAGUGGGACUCCUACGGGAGGCAGCAGUGGGACUCCUACGGGAGGCAGCAGUGGGACUCCUACGGGAGGCAGCAGUGGGACAGUUGG
This 263-nucleotide unclassified non-coding RNA is filed under the name uncultured bacterium. Its description in RNAcentral is "partial contains 16S ribosomal RNA and 16S-23S ribosomal RNA intergenic spacer region". The record is from RNAcentral.